UACGUAGGAGACGAGCGUUGUCCGGAGUUACUGGGCGUAAAGGGUGCGCAGGCGGCCCUGCGCGUCGCGAGUGAAAUCUCCCGGCUCAACUGGGAGGGUGGUCGCGAGACGGCAGGGCUUGAGGCUCGGUGAGGGGCGUGGAAUUCCGGGUGGAGCGGUGAAAUGCGUAGAGAUCGGAAAGAACACCAACGGCGAAAGCACUCUGCUGGGCCGACACUGACACUGAGAGACGAAAGCUAGGGGAGCGAAUGGG
RNAcentral lists this ribosomal RNA (253 nucleotides) under uncultured bacterium. Its description in RNAcentral is "partial 16S ribosomal RNA". It matches the Rfam family "Bacterial small subunit ribosomal RNA", at positions 524 to 776 of the family's 1533-position model. The record is from RNAcentral.